RNAcentral lists this unclassified non-coding RNA (96 nucleotides) under Kaistella jeonii. RNAcentral describes it as "Chryseobacterium jeonii Flavo-1 RNA". Lineage: Bacteria; Pseudomonadati; Bacteroidota; Flavobacteriia; Flavobacteriales; Weeksellaceae. The record is from RNAcentral.
AUUGCGACCCAGCCUGAACGGAGCUCUUUUUUAUUGUUGGCUGAGCGAAGUCGAAGACAAUAAUAAAAAAAGCGGGAGUGGAGGAUGGAAAAGUCG